ACCAGAGGUGAGAAGGGAUUGAGAGCGUGAUAAUGGCAUGCAAUAAUGUGCCAUGUGUUCGAGUCUUUGGGAGUGGUUGCGCUCCUGAUUUCUCGAACGUCUAAACCCUAAACCGGCUGCUAUUUUCGCAGAGAUCUUUGACAUAAUGUGUCAAAGUAAAUAUCGUUGGGGGGUGUUGUUCCAGAGUUUCCCCCUCGCCAAAACAAAUGAAGCUCUGAAGCCCCAUUGUGGUUCCACCUCUCAAGAGGACUGUUGGCUGUCCUUGGAAGGCUCGUAGGUGUUGGUCGUUUGUAGUUCGCUGCUCAUCCAACGAUGUCCUCGCCUUUCAAAUUCCCCUCCCUCUUUU
This 346-nucleotide non-coding RNA is filed under the name Pinus taeda (loblolly pine). Lineage: Eukaryota; Viridiplantae; Streptophyta; Pinopsida; Pinales; Pinaceae. The record is from RNAcentral.